Phodopus roborovskii (desert hamster) is the source of this 179-nucleotide long non-coding RNA. RefSeq lists it as uncharacterized. The transcript has 2 exons. The record is from RefSeq and is a predicted model, not a curated record. Lineage: Eukaryota; Metazoa; Chordata; Mammalia; Rodentia; Cricetidae.
CUCGUGGCCCCGGAUGCAGCCCCGCCCCCGCGGAACCGGAAGUGAGCGGGCGCUGGGAGCGGUGGGGCGCGGCGGGAUCCUGGCGGACCUGGCUGGCGCGGUGUUCACUGAUCAUCGCAGAUGCCCACACAUUUCUCCUUGGAUUCAGAUAGACUGUGAGCUGCCUCUCCCAGCAAAAA